Non-coding RNA from Pelobates cultripes (western spadefoot toad), 213 nucleotides. NCBI's taxonomy places the organism in Eukaryota, Metazoa, Chordata, Amphibia, Anura, Pelobatidae. The record is from the annotation of a GenBank genome assembly.
CUCAAUACCAUAUAUGGGAGUUCCUGUUUUCCUUCCCUCCCAAAAUGGAGUCCUUUUCCCAUAUAGUCUGUAGAAGUCGACCUUCUCAUAAUGGCCACGCUAUCCGGAUGCUUAUUGCCGGUCGCGUGACUUCCGGUAUUCAGGCCGGUACGUCAUUUCCGUUUAACGUAAAGUUUUUACAUUUUCCAUUAUUUUGCCAAGGCCUUUGACACG